GCCAGCAGCCAUAUCAUCCUGCAACUCACAACUGGCAAAUCACCUCAGCUCAGCAGGAGUGAGCCUGGGCAGUACCUGGAUGGGAGACCUCCUGGGAAAAGCUAAGGUUGCUGCUGGAA
Molecule: ribosomal RNA, 119 nt
Filed under: Lepisosteus oculatus (spotted gar)
Lineage: Eukaryota; Metazoa; Chordata; Actinopteri; Semionotiformes; Lepisosteidae
Source: RNAcentral